Molecule: ribosomal RNA, 397 nt
Filed under: uncultured bacterium
Lineage: Bacteria
Description: partial 16S ribosomal RNA
Rfam family: Bacterial small subunit ribosomal RNA
Source: RNAcentral
AUACGGAGGGUGCAAGCGUUAUUCGGAAUCAUUGGGCGUAAAGGGCGCGUAGGCGGCCUUGUAAGUCAGGUGUGAAAGCCCGGGGCUUAACCUCGGAAGUGCACUUGAAACUACAUGGCUUGAGUGUGGGAGAGGAGAGCGGAAUUCCUGGUGUAGAGGUGAAAUUCGUAGAUAUCAGGAGGAACACCGGUGGCGAAGGCGGCUCUCUGGACCAAUACUGACGCUGAGGCGCGAAGGCGUGGGGAGCAAACAGGAUUAGAUACCCUGGUAGUCCACGCAGUAAACGGUGAACACUAGGUGUAGCGGGUAUUUACCCCCGCUGUGCCGCAGCUAACGCAUUAAGUGUUCCGCCUGGGAAGUACGGUCGCAAGAUUAAAACUCAAAGGAAUUGACGGGG